RNAcentral lists this non-coding RNA (31 nucleotides) under Mus musculus (house mouse). Lineage: Eukaryota; Metazoa; Chordata; Mammalia; Rodentia; Muridae. The record is from RNAcentral.
UGGCGUUUCUACGUUCUCUUUGGGGCAACUU